AAAUCCAUUACCGACAAAAUGCCAUUGUGCUGGGCUGCUGGCCCUUGGCCGAGGGGCCCGCUAAGGCCAGUUCGUUGAACAGCUCUUGCGCAUUUCGUCGAACAGCUCGUCGGCGAGGCGCCCCACACGGCGUGGAUCGCCCCCAGGCGGGGAGCCCCAGCUGCCGGUGCGCUGAGUGAAUUGCAGUGAACUUUACCUGUCCCAAUGCAUAUGGCAAAGGCGAGUACAUGUGAGCUGCCCUUUCCCUGUAAAAGACUGUCCGCUCAACUGAUACAACUGGCUGAACUGAACCAGAAUUCUGUACUCCCAUGAAAAUAACCGAGGCAUACAUGGAGCCCAUAGCAUUGAACAAAUCCUGUUGAUUAUCCCUGCAAGAGUACAAUAGCUUCAGUCUACUGCAUGCAAGCAAAACACUGUGUGAGGAAGGUCUGCGAGUAUUCCGUUGGAAAGGAUAGGUCAGUUGAACCUUCAGGAGGUGUGCUUAACUCCUUUAUUAAAGUUCUGUUCCUCCUGAAAAUGCAAGAACAUGACAAUAUUAAUGAUGGGCUGAGACAUUGUUUGGCAACGAACUAUCUUUUCGUUGAAUAGAAAAUAUCAGUUCCAAAAUAGAAAAUUGUGUUAAAGUACUCAACUUUUGAAAGGGGAUAUCUAUGGUUUUAGAUUUAUUUAUGCAAAUAUUAUUUGAAACUAGGGAAAACACAAAUAUUCAGCUACAGGGAAUGUGCACCCGGUACCCUAACCCUUAGUGGUAUCAAAAUGGGUGCAUAUGGCUCUAUGAAGUAAAAUCCAAACUCUUGAAAAAGGCCUUGUACUUUGAAGUUUAAGGAUAUGCACCCUUCAAAUACUGUUUGUAAAUAAUAAAUAAGCCAUUUUUAGCCUCUUUACUAUUUUCAAAUUUGAGAUUUCAGAACCUGAAUCAAUGUUAGAUAGGUCUGUACUUCUUCAGUCCUCAAUUAGAUAAUUAAACUAUGAACCACAACACAUAUGCACAUACCUAUAUAAUUCUGAACUCUUGUAUACUUCACUAAAGUUAACACCAGUUAUUUGUUCUUGCAUUGUACUAGUCACUUCUAGCAUCCAUGUUGAAGGGUUGUAGCCAUCUUUUAUGCUGCUGACACCUUCAAUAGCCUUGGUAGAAUCAACGCAAACCAGUUAGAUAACAUGUUACUUCAGUGCAAAACCAUAAAUUGGUGGGAAAAUAAAAUAGUUAAUUUGCUCUUGCUCACCUCAAAAUAUUUUAUGAGUUCACAUGAAUGGCGGCCUAAUGGACCUACAUAAAUCUCUUCACCUCCACGUUUCAUUAGGAAGAGCUGCAAAGGUGCACAGAGCCAUUGCCCAUUAGAUGUUAAAGUAUAGAAACAAUGCAAAUUCUGGAAAAAGAAACUAUGUUUCGUAUAGUUUUCUUCACCUCGUCAAAAGAUUCAAAGAUAUCGAUGCUUGGUUGGUGAAUGGUACAAACAACUGUUCUUCCUGUGUCCACAGUAUUCCUGAUUGCCCUCAUGACAAUGGCUGCUGCUCGUGCAUCAAGUCCAGAUGUCGGUUCAUCCAUGAAAAUGAUAGAAGGGUUAGCAACCAGCUCAACUGCUAUUGUUAGCCUCUUCCUUUGCUCUGUUGAUAAUCCACUCACACCCGGCAAUCCCACCAAUGCAUCUUUUAAGGGUAAAAGUUCCACAAGCUCCAUAACCUCAUCAAUAAACAUCUGCCCAUAGCAAACCAGGUUUCAUGUAUCAGUACAUAGUGGGACGCUGACUAAAGCAAUUAUUACUCAAAAUAAACUGUAAAUAUGACUGGCGUGUCAUGUCAUAUAUCUAUCUCAAAACUUAUCUAUGAACUCUAGUAUUGUCAAGAUCUCUAUCACUGUAUACCAUUUUAGAUCAGCCGGCAAAUUUAACCUUCUCAUUCUAAUCAUGUUUCAUGUAAUUUUUAAAUAUAUGCACUUAUAUUAUUAUAUUUUGCUGAAAAGAGGUGAUGUCUUGAAUCUUCAACAAACCUUUCUUGUUGAGGAAUCAACAUCAGCAGGUAAUCUGAGCCAUGCAGAGAAUGCAAGGGACUCGUAGACGGUAACAUUUGGUGAAUGGAUGUCAUUCUGCUCACAAUAUCCUGAUACACGAGCAAAAGUUUCUUGCUUCUUUGGGUAACCUGAUAUGGUAAUGUUGCCCUCAAUGUAUCCGCUGGUCUUCCUCCCAGCCAACACAUCCAUCAGCGUUGUCUUGCCAGCACCACUGACACCCAUUAGAGCAGUAAGUACUCCUGGCCUAAAUGAACCACUUAUACCCUUUAAUAGUUGCAACCGGGUCUCUUUGACACCUUGUGCUCUGAUUUCCUACAUGUUUUGUUGGAUAGAUAAAUUAUUAUAAAUGAAAAUUUUGCUCUUAGAUAGUAUGAGAAUAUAAGGGAAUCUGUAAUAAUAAUUGUAUUUCUAAAAUUUCCUUAAAAAAUACCUCUGGCAUGUCGACACUGUAUCUUAUAUCUUCAAAAGUGAUGGAGAGAGGUACAAAAGGGAGGACCAUUCCUUUGUUGACGGGUCUAGAAUUUACUGUUGUAUGGUUGGAAUCUGCUUCACCAUUGCUCCCAUCCACAGUACCUAAUAGACAUCACAUACUCAUGAUCAUCAUAAAAUUGCACAUAAAUAUAUUCUUUUGUCAUGUUGAUUGGUGAAGGUGAAACUAUAAUUACUUGUUGUUACUGUAUUGCUGGGAACCCUUCCUCUUGACGAUGCUUCUAAAACUUCACCAGUUAGAUUUGCUUGUUUGAUCUUCAAUGUCUCCUCAGAAAUUGUCGGCUGAUUGCUAUCAAAUGCUGCAGGUAGCAUAAUUUGUAAGAUUUAAUUUGAUCUUUGUCUGUGCCAUAUUUAUUUUAAAUCUAAGUGCAAUAUAAUUUUUUACUCACGCUUGAGGAAUGUGAGGCAGACAGUGUAGAGGAUAUUGAAUAGCAGCACAUAUCCAAGCAAGGCACCCACACCAAUCCAGUACCAUUUUGCCUCAGGAAAAAGACCACGAGAUUCCAGAACAAGCUUUCCGAGUGGUUCUGUAGAACCAGGGAGUAUCUGUUACAUAGAAGUAUCUGUAAGCUUUAUCGAUUAGCCAGACUUAUGAAAGUUAUACUUUUCUGAAAAUAGCUUUUACCUUAUUCCAGCUGUCACCCAGGAAUUCAUUUACUGAUAUGGCAUUCUGUGCAUACAUCAGGGGUGAUAUCCAGUACCCCCAGAUCCACCAUUUCUUCACAUUCUCUGUUAAAUCAAAGGAGUAGUUUAAUCCGUGACUUCAUAUAGAAGUAAAGUACCACAACCACAUCAGAUGCGCAGCUAAUAACUGAAAUUAGGCAACUCAAACCAAUUUUUUGUAUAUGGAAACACUAUAUUUUGAGUUAGCUAUUUUUGCAUACCUCUUGCCAGGAGAAAUCCACCCAAAAGCAUAAAAAUCAGAAUGCCGAAUGAACCAAGGGUGCUUGCAACGACCUGAUGCCUUGCAAGCCCAGCAAUGAAACGGAACAACCCAGAUGAUGCCUCAUUCAUUAGUAAGAGGAGCAGGAACUGUCUGAAAAGUCUGCAGCAUUGUGUUUUUUUAAAAUUUGGUUAGCUUCUGUAAUACACUCAUAACAUGCUGAUCUAGUAUAGAAAUAUUGGUUUAGUUACCUUUCUACAUUGGGAUCAAAUCCAAUGACAUAAUAUGUUAUGAAGACCCAAAUUGUUACAUUAAGCAAGGAGAGGGGGGUCUUAAUGAUCCAUGAUGGCAAGGAGUAUGUCCAAGCAGGAUAGAAGAGAAGAUCCCUUUGCUUGAAAAAAACUGGGAGCUUUGCAAUAGUCAGGCCAAUUUCUGCCAAUCCAUUGAACAUGAUCAUCAGGAUCCCAAAGAACAGAGCACCCAUGUAUAUCCUUCCAUUUGUUAGUGAGUCAUGAUGCAUAUUGGUUCGGAGGAACACCGUCAUUGCAAUGAUUGCCAUGAGUGUUAACUGAACAAUAGAUAAAGUAACAAAAAAGAGACAUUAUUUAGUUUAUGCUUUACUGAGUAAAAACAAGGUUAUUAUUCAACUUGUUUUGAAGAUUAUUGAAGAUGAAGCUGAUAUAAUUCGAAUUUGAAAAGCUUCAGUUUUUGAGAAUCACCUGAACUGCCUUGAAUAUGUACACAAAUGAGUUUCUUUUCAUUAACAAUAUCUCUCUGUUGAUAUUUGCUUUAAGUAGCUCUUUCAUGCUGGCACCAUAUUUUGAUGUUUUAAGUGCAGCAGGAUGGCUCGUGCUCUUGUCAAAUGGGACUGCCAACUCAUUUCGUAUAGCCUCGCCAAUGUGGAAAGAUUGAAAUGCAUCUGCAAACUCCUUCACAGGAACAUAUCGGAAAAGAUCGAUACAGAACUGUAAUGGAAGUAUAGAACUCACUUCUUGCAAGAAGUCGGCUACACCUUUCCGCUGCGGGCAUUUGAAGCCAACCGAUUCAAAGAACUGGAGCACAUGUUCACGAGGGCCACUGUAGACAACCUGACCGUCUGAGAGGAGAAUUAUAUCAUCAAACAGUUCAUAUGUCUCUGGUGCAGGUUGUAACAAAGCAAUAACUGCUGUUCCGCCAACAAUGUGAAUGGUUUGCCGGAUAGAGUUCACAAUCUGAAAGGUUGUUGAGCUAUCAAGUCCUGUUGAUAUCUCAUCCAUGAAAAGGGCUCGUCCUGGGGUGACAAGCAUUUCAGCUGCACGACCAAUUUCCGGUGUAGAUGAGUUAGAUCAUAGAGGAUUAUUAAUAUAGAAAUUGACCGUCUCACGAACCGUCAACUCCCCCAUGUGCAGAUCAUGUUGGCUGACAUAUGCAGCUGAUCUCCGGGCCUCAAACUCGUCCAUUGUGUGCCCGUUGUAAGUUAUGUUCCCUGUUACCUUUUGCAGUUGCAGUAUAUCAUCAUAUUAGUAGUACUCUCAAUGUACAUUCAUGACAAGAGAUAGUGCCAUGCAAACGCAAAGCAAGUACCUUGAGACUUGAAGGGAGUGUUCCAGCCAAGGCCAAAAGCAGCGAUGUUUUGCCAGCACCAGGAGGACCCAAUAGCAAGGUCAUUCUGAAAAAUAGCAGGGAUAAGACGAAAUACUCCAGGGAGAUGAUUCGGUGAUCGGUAAUAUGACGUUGACGGAAGUUACCUGUGUGGCUUGAUGAUGCCACUGACAUUGUGAAGAAUCGAUAUUUUCUGCUUCCUACUUGGUGUUAAGUGAAGAACAUUGGCGAUGCCCUGUUUGGUGAUGGUUACCAACAUGUCAGGCCACAGAAAAGAGGGUACCACAAGGGCAAAUCAUGCCAUCACAAAAGGGCGUGAAUGAGAUGUGACGGAACUUAGUGCA
Panicum virgatum (switchgrass) is the source of this 5308-nucleotide long non-coding RNA. RefSeq lists it as uncharacterized. The record is from RefSeq and is a predicted model, not a curated record. Lineage: Eukaryota; Viridiplantae; Streptophyta; Magnoliopsida; Poales; Poaceae. The transcript has 5 exons.